ACGGGAGGCAGCAGUGGGGAAUAUUGCACAAUGGGCGCAAGCCUGAUGCAGCGAUGCCGCGUGAGGGAAGAAGGUUUUCGGAUUGUAAACCUCUGUCAACAGGGAUGAAAAUGACGGUACCUGUGAAGGAAGCUCCGGCUAACUACGUGCCAGCAGCCGCGGUAAUACGUAGGGAGCAAGCGUUAUCCGGAAUUACUGGGUGUAAAGGGUGCGUAGGCGGUAUGGCAAGUCAGAUGUGAAAGACCGGGGCUCAACUCCGGGGCUGCAUUUGAAACUGCCAGACUGGAGUACAGGAGAGGCAGGCGGAAUUCCUAGUGUAGCGGUGAAAUGCGUAGAUAUUAGGAGGAACACCAGUGGCGAAGGCGGCCUGCUGGACUGUUACUGACGCUGAGGCACGAAAGCGUGGGGAGCAAACAGGAUUAGAUACCCUGGUA
RNAcentral lists this ribosomal RNA (434 nucleotides) under uncultured Lachnospiraceae bacterium. Its description in RNAcentral is "partial 16S ribosomal RNA". It matches the Rfam family "Bacterial small subunit ribosomal RNA", at positions 341 to 792 of the family's 1533-position model. The record is from RNAcentral. Lineage: Bacteria; Bacillati; Bacillota; Clostridia; Lachnospirales; Lachnospiraceae.